AGCCCAACGACGCCACCCAGAGGUAUCUUUGUGUUUAUAACCCUUUUAAUGUUUGGGAAAGCCUGAACAAGUCAAGACAUGCCCGGACAAGUAUCAGGAGGCAGUCUAUAUGUAUGAGUGGAGUGACUGACUUGUUCAUUGUGCAAGAAAAGGGACUACUGCAUGUUUGUUUCUUCUGUGAGUGAUUGAUUAAAAAACCACACACGCACACACAAACUUGCAAGGAUAAUUCAAAUAAAACCUUCAACUGGGACCUGCUCUCUUGCUCCCGUUUCUCUAACCGGAAACUCCCACUACCAUUUCUACGUGUACCUAAACGAACCCUUGAGCGUCCCACGCGCUCGUGCACCCUGUGUGAAUAAGCGCUUCAGGCCCGGACACAUUCAGAGGCGUCUCCUAUCAGACCGUAUUACACUGCAGUCCAUCCGAUUCAACUGUUGCAUUAAUUGCACUGGAAGAUGACAGUGUAACUAAUGAGGAGUGAGUGCAUGUGUGUGUGUGUUUCUCUAGAUAACACGGCCCGUGCUCUCUAUGAAAGCAUGCAGGCUGAUUUCAGACUGGUUGGCUUGUUUGCGUGCAGGACGGAGAUGCUUUUGGCUCGAC
Cyprinus carpio carpio is the source of this 603-nucleotide long non-coding RNA. The record is from Ensembl. Lineage: Eukaryota; Metazoa; Chordata; Actinopteri; Cypriniformes; Cyprinidae.